Molecule: ribosomal RNA, 440 nt
Filed under: uncultured bacterium
Lineage: Bacteria
Description: partial 16S ribosomal RNA
Rfam family: Bacterial small subunit ribosomal RNA
Source: RNAcentral
CCUACGGGAGGCAGCAGUGGGGAAUAUUGCACAAUGGGGGAAACCCUGAUGCAGCGACGCCGCGUGAGUGAAGAAGUAUUUCGGUACGUAAAGCUCUAUCAGCAGGGAAGAAAAUGACGGUACCUGACUAAGAAGCCCCGGCUAACUACGUGCCAGCAGCCGCGGUAAUACGUAGGGGGCAAGCGUUAUCCGGAUUUACUGGGUGUAAAGGGAGCGUAGACGGCAGCGCAAGUCUGGAGUGAAAUCCCAUGGCUUAACCAUGGAACUGCUUUGGAAACUGUGCAGCUAGAGUGCAGGAGAGGUAAGCGGAAUUCCUAGUGUAGCGGUGAAAUGCGUAGAUAUUAGGAGGAACACCAGAGGCGAAGGCGACUUACUGGACUGUAACUGACGCUGAGGCUCGAAAGCGUGGGGAGCAAACAGGAUUAGAUACCCCAGUAGUC